RNAcentral lists this unclassified non-coding RNA (445 nucleotides) under uncultured fungus. RNAcentral's name for it is "partial contains small subunit ribosomal RNA, internal transcribed spacer 1, and 5.8S ribosomal RNA". The stretch from base 1 to 73 matches the Rfam family "Eukaryotic small subunit ribosomal RNA", at positions 1759 to 1831 of the family's 1831-position model. Lineage: Eukaryota; Fungi. The record is from RNAcentral.
GCAAACUUGGUCAUUUAGAGGAAGUAAAAGUCGUAACAAGGUCUCCGUAGGUGAACCUGCGGAGGGAUCAUUAAUGAAUGGCCAUCUAUGGCCUUCAACCCUUCAAAACUGUGGAGGCAGAGUGUGCUUCGGUGCUUCGGCGCCGUCUUUAUGCUGCAAAGUCUGUGUCUGAACGUAAAAAUAAAGUCAAAAACUUUCAACAAAGGAUCUCUUGGCUCUCUAGAGGAAGUAAAAGUCGUAACAAGGUCUCCGUAGGUGAACCUGCGGAGGGAUCAUUAAUGAAUGGCCAUCUAUGGCCUUCAACCCUUCAAAACUGUGGAGGCAGAGUGUGCUUCGGUGCUUCGGCGCCGUCUUUAUGCUGCAAAGUCUGUGUCUGAACGUAAAAAUAAAGUCAAAAACUUUCAACAAAGGAUCUCUUGGCUCUCGCAUCGAUGAAGAACGCAGC